Molecule: ribosomal RNA, 468 nt
Filed under: uncultured bacterium
Lineage: Bacteria
Description: partial 16S ribosomal RNA
Rfam family: Bacterial small subunit ribosomal RNA
Source: RNAcentral
GACGAACGCUGGCGGCGUGCUUAACACAUGCAAGUCGAACGGAAAGGCCCUGCUUUUGUGGGGUGCUCGAGUGGCGAACGGGUGAGUAACACGUGAGUAACCUGCCCUUGACUUUGGGAUAACUUCAGGAAACUGGGGCUAAUACCGGAUAGGAGCUCUUGCUGCAUGGUGGGGGUUGGAAAGUUUCGGCGGUUGGGGAUGGACUCGCGGCUUAUCAGCUUGUUGGUGGGGUAGUGGCUUACCAAGGCUUUGACGGGUAGCCGGCCUGAGAGGGUGACCGGCCACAUUGGGACUGAGAUACGGCCCAGACUCCUACGGGAGGCAGCAGUGGGGAAUAUUGCACAAUGGGCGGAAGCCUGAUGCAGCAACGCCGCGUGCGGGAUGACGGCCGUCGGGUUGUAAACAGCUUUCGCCUGUGACGAAGCGUGAGUGACGGUAAUGGGUAAAGAAGCACCGGCUAACUACGUG